ACGGGAGGCAGCAGUGGGGAAUAUUGGGCAAUGGGCGAAAGCCUGACCCAGCAACGCCGCGUGAAGGAAGAAGGUCUUCGGAUUGUAAACUUCUUUUAUGAGGGACGAAGGACGUGACGGUACCUCAUGAAUAAGCCACAGCUAACUACGUGCCAGCAGCCGCGGUAAUACGUAGGUGGCAAGCGUUAUCCGGAUUUACUGGGUGUAAAGGGUGCGUAGGCGGGCUUGCAAGUCAGGCGUGAAAUACCGGGGCUUAACUCCGGGGCUGCGCUUGAAACUGUAAGUCUUGAGUGAAGUAGAGGCAGGCGGAAUUCCCAGUGUAGCGGUGAAAUGCGUAGAUAUUGGGAGGAACACCAGUGGCGAAGGCGGCCUGCUGGGCUUUAACUGACGCUGAGGCACGAAAGUAUGGGGAGCAAACAGGAUUAGAUACCCUGGUA
Molecule: ribosomal RNA, 437 nt
Rfam family: Bacterial small subunit ribosomal RNA